AACGAACGCUGGCGGCAUGCCUAACACAUGCAAGUCGAACGAGACCUUCGGGUCUAGUGGCGCACGGGUGCGUAACGCGUGGGAACCUGCCCUUAGGUUCGGAAUAACUCCCCGAAAGGGGUGCUAAUACCGGAUAAUGUCUUCGGACCAAAGAUUUAUCGCCUUUGGAUGGGCCCGCGUUGGAUUAGCUAGUUGGUAGGGUAAAAGCCUACCAAGGCGACGAUCCAUAGCUGGUCUGAGAGGAUGAUCAGCCACACUGGGACUGAGACACGGCCCAGACUCCUACGGGGGGAGGAGGGGGGGAAUAGGGAAAAAGGGGCGAAGGCUUGAACACGCAUGGCCGGGGGAGGAAGAAGGCCUUGGGGUUUGAAAAUCUUUUUUCCCCGGGAGUAUAAUGACAGUCCGGGGAAAAAAAGCCCCGGCUAGCCCCGUC
Molecule: ribosomal RNA, 433 nt
Filed under: uncultured bacterium
Lineage: Bacteria
Description: partial 16S ribosomal RNA
Rfam family: Bacterial small subunit ribosomal RNA
Source: RNAcentral